UGCAUCUGGGGCCUGCGAGGAUGAGAACCUCCGGGGGCAGGAGGUUCGACUCGAGCGAAGCGAGAGAACGUUGCGUCAGCAACGG
This 85-nucleotide small RNA is filed under the name Klebsiella pneumoniae. Its description in RNAcentral is "partial RtT sRNA". It matches the Rfam family "RtT RNA", at positions 1 to 82 of the family's 130-position model. From Rfam's summary of the family: This family represents a bacterial cis-regulatory element known as RtT RNA. The exact function of RtT is unknown although it is thought that it may be involved in changing the cellular response in relation to amino acid starvation. The record is from RNAcentral. Lineage: Bacteria; Pseudomonadati; Pseudomonadota; Gammaproteobacteria; Enterobacterales; Enterobacteriaceae.